AGAGUUUGAUCCUGGCUCAGAAUGAACGCUGGCGGCGUGCCUAACACAUGCAAGUCGAACGAGAAAACGGGCUUCGGCCUGUGAGUAAAGUGGCAUACGGGUGAGUAACACGUGGGUAACCUGCCCGGAGGUGGGGGACAACUCUUCGAAAGGGGAGCUAAUACCGCAUAACAUCCCGAGCACUUCGGUGCACGGGAUCAAAGUUUGCCUCUGUUUCAUGCAAACGCCACCGGAGGGACCCGCGCCCCAUUAGCUAGAUGGUGAGGUAAUGGCUCACCAUGGCGACGAUGGGUAGCCGGCCUGAGAGGGUGAUCGGCCACACUGGAACUGAGAUACGGUCCAGACUCCUACGGGAGGCAGCAGUGAGGAAUUUUGCGCAAUGGGGGAAACCCUGACGCAGCGACGCCGCGUGGGGGACGAAGGCCUUCGGGUCGUAAACUCCUGUCAAGAGGGACGAAUCCCGGUUGGAUGAAUAAGUCGACCGGUGACGGUACCUCUGAAGAGCCC
This 507-nucleotide ribosomal RNA is filed under the name uncultured Acidobacteriaceae bacterium. Its description in RNAcentral is "bacterial SSU rRNA". It matches the Rfam family "Bacterial small subunit ribosomal RNA", at positions 8 to 492 of the family's 1533-position model. Lineage: Bacteria; Pseudomonadati; Acidobacteriota; Terriglobia; Terriglobales; Acidobacteriaceae. The record is from RNAcentral.